Molecule: non-coding RNA, 500 nt
Organism: Mus caroli (Ryukyu mouse)
Lineage: Eukaryota; Metazoa; Chordata; Mammalia; Rodentia; Muridae
Source: RefSeq, a predicted model, not a curated record
CUGUCUUGGGAACGUGGCUCACUGUUCCGUCCCUUGUAGAGUUUUCUACUGGAUCUUUGGAGCACGCCUUGCUCAACCAAAACAGCCUGCCUUUCAAGAACCUUUCAUAAUUCUCUGUGGAGAACUCAGAGGCGUCCUUUCACACAAGAUGUCAAUGACAGGCACAGCUGAUGCAUGCUGGAUACUGCAAAGCAAGGACGUUCUCCUCAAAAGGUCUCAGCUCACCACCCAUCGGGCCACACUAACCCACAGAAGAGAUAGCAGGGUGUUGGGAACCAGGAAGAAGGUCAAAGAAUCAGAAGAAAAUACCCAAGAUGAGAGGAGAAGAUGCCUCUGGAAGUGGACUUCAAAUAUCCUGUAGUGUAAGAGGCUGGCCCUCCAAUGGCAAUGUGAUCUCAGUUCUUCUAGCUUACUCUCACCAAUGUAUGCUCCUUCAUCAUGGAGAUGUCUGUCUUGAGUCCCUGCAUGGGUCUCCUCUCAAGGACAAUAUGCUCACUCAG